UUUAUACACCCUAACAUACAUUUUAAACAGAGACAUAUUAAAAAAACCUAGAAACCCUAGCAAGAAAAGGACAUGUCGUUCUUCUUCAUUUUGAUACACCCAUCAGCACCCCCCUUCAUCUUCUCCACCCUCAAAUCCCUCACCCCUAAAAACCAGCGACAAACCACCCCUACUGCCAUCACCAUCCAUUUCCACCCCUUUAUCUUCUUCACCAGCUCACGACCACAACUCCAGCGGCCAGCUCGUUCUUCUCCGACAAUCAGCAACCUUCGCUGACCCCCCCCCCUCCCAACGCCUGAGACAGCAACAAAAACACACACAUGAAUAGUAAUGGGUACAAAACGGACAACUAUUAAAAAGAGACUCAGACUUGAGAGUUUUUUAUUUGUUUUCUCUGAUUUUCAGAACAUAUACAUACAAAUAGUCUCUGUUUUGAAGGUUAAUUGGGUUGAGCCUAAGCAAAAAAAAUGUUUCUUAUUUCCUCCUUGCAAUUUCGAGUUUCUUGGUUUCAAUUUUAGUGUCUGAUUGCUGCCUAGUCAAGGUUGUCGUUCGUUGGUUCCGAUCCAAGCGACAUCCAUUAUUUCCGGCCAAGAUCUCGUUCAGUUGAUGAUGUUUUGUAAUUCAAAGCUUUGAGGUCCAUUCUUUCUUCUAUCUCACUCUAUGUUUGGAAUAAUUAACGUUUGAUCAGUUUCUUGGUUUGUUGUUCUCUACGGUGUUCUAUGUUUUAAAUGAGCUAAAGCUAAUUUGCUAUUCCAUUAUUGUUCCUUCGUGUUCGAUUUUUCUGCCGUAGUACUGUGUAAAUUAUUUGUGGCCCUCUUCGUAGUUAAUUUGGUUUGCUGGGUCAUUUUGGUACCUUGAGUUCAUGACAAUUUGAUGAAUAUUUUGAGUCAUUUUGUGGAGAAUUGAAAUGAUAAUUGGAACGAAAGAGGGAUAAUGUUCAAUGUUGAAAGACUCAGUGGUUUAUCCUUGAAAGAACUCUUGGGAACUGUUUCAAUGCUGGUGAUAUUUUAUUGUUUCUAAAGGUUGUUAUGAAUAUAUUGCUAUAUUACCAUUUGAUUUUGUUAGAUGUAUACCAUCUGGCUGAGAGUGGGACGGAUAGAGAAUGCUAACAAAUUGAUAAGUUGUAGAUAUCUCUAGUUUAUAUUUAUUUACAAUAAUUUCCAUAUCCUAUGGCCUUCACAAAUCUCAAAUUAGUUUUAAGAAGUAAAUAUGAACCUUCGUAGUUUGCUAUAGGCGCACUAUAAUAAAUCAUCAUAGCUAGGGGUAUGGUUCCCGUGACUUAGUUUUGAUACGUAAUUUCCAAAUCCGGGUGCACAUUUCAUGUGACCCGGCCACAACUUCUAAUAAUGUUAAUAAAUUAAAAAUUUUGUAGAUCGUGGGUACGGUUCCCGUAACACGAUUCGCAAUGUGUACAAAACAAACAAGUGUGUAACAAUCGUAACUUGUUCCAGAACAAUUCCAUAAAUGUUAAAAGCGAUUGAAAAGAAUAAAAUGCACAAUAGGUUUAAAAUAUGUAAUAAAUCAGAUAAUUAGGCCAAUUAUUAAUAGCUGAGCAGUCGUGCUAAAACCACAGAAUCUGGGAAUGUCUAACACCUUCUCCUGGGUUAACAGAGUUCCUUACUCGGUCUUCUGUGUUCAUGGACCAUAAAAUAGAGUCAAUUUCCUCGAUUUGGGAUUUAAAAUAAACCGGUGAUUUGGGACACCAUAAACUAUUCCAAGUUGCGACUCUGAAAUUAAAUAAAUUAUCCCAUUUUAAUUUAUGUCACUUUAAUUAUAAAAACUCUCCUUAUAACCCUUUCGGGUAGAAAAUGGAGGUAUUUGAAUUGUAUACAAACUGUUGUGAAACCCUUCUCUUCUAAUCUUUUAGGAAGUGCACGCUGGUGUGACUUCUUUUCUAUUAGUGUCAUACCCUAAUUUAGAAUGAGGAUCUGAUCAGUUACAAAUCCGGAUGGCCUUUUUCUUCCCGGUACGUUGCCCCCCUCCGGCUCGAGUUGUCCGCUUGGAUAAGCCAGGUCUAGAACAAUACACCCAGGAUUUAAACCUAGAGUAACAUAGCCUCAUGUCGGAUCCCUAGUAGGAACGCUUGAUUGCAUCAUGUGCAUUUGACUUUGGGGACUCAACAUAGGGGUUGGGUCCAUCUAGGACAGGUGUACCCAAAAAUUAAAAGGUUAUCCUGAUGCAUCUUAUGUGCUACAUGUUGCAAUCUUCAAGAGUAAAAGGGGUCAUUUGGCGGACCAAUAAUGGUUGGGGGUAAAUGAAAAAAAAAGAGGGUGAGUGUAAAAAUGAUGCAAGUAGGGCCAAUUAUAUUUUUCUUUCACAUUUUUGUUAAGAAAAAAAAUGAAAAUCCAAAAAGAUUUUACACUUUCCCAUCAUUUUCCAAAAAAAAAAAUCAAAAAAAAUAGGAAAAAGAAAAUUCAAAAGAGUUUACAUGUUUCAUCAUUUUUCAAAAAAAAAGACAAAAAUAUAUAUUUUCUCUAAAUUAGUUAUUUUUUUAAAUUCUCGUCCGUAUCCAAUCUUCCCGAACUAUGCAUACCUGAUUUUCGUCUUUCGGGGCGUGAUACGUAGGCAACUCACAUAGGGUCUGGUCUUCCUAGUGAGUCUUAGGUUCUUGGAUUCGAGGGUCGUAGCCAAAUCUUGCAUGUCUAGCCAUUUUUGGCCACAUCGGUCAUUUUGCAAAAUAAGGCUUUUUUCGCAGGGUGAUUUUGUUUAAUUGUCUGAAGAGUCUUGAAUCAACAAUUAGGUGUCUCUUUACUUUAAGAUCUGUCCUUGUCGAAUUUGCAUGUCUAUCGCUCUUGGCCACGUAGGCCGUUUAGUGAAAUAGGGCUAUUUUCACAAAAGUGGUUUAAUUAAACAAUGUCUUAGAGUCCUAAGUCCACAACAAGGUGUCCUCUUAGUUUAAGGUCCAUUGCAUUGAAUUUGCAUGCUUAGCCAUCUUUUUGACCACAUAGGCCAUUUCUACAAAAUGGAUCAUUUCUACAAAGUAAUUUUUCCAUGUCUUAGAGGUCACUUUUGUUGAGUUUGCACUUCUAGCCACCUUUUUGCCACAUAAGCCAUUUUGCAAAAAUACUCUCAAUCAUAUCUUACAUGUAUCCAAUAGGAAGUUUUAUUAUCUCACAUAGUGUUCUAAGUCUUUAAUUCUAUUUGGUAUUAUUUUUCUCAUACAGGUGUGGGUUUACUUAUCUUGCAGGUCUGGCAUGAGCAUGACAGGCACCCAGGACCAUCUGGUCAGGACCGUUGCACCUAGGAGUUGCUUGAGGAGAUUUUUUAUGUUUUGAGUAUGUUUCUUUUUAUGUUGUCUUGUGCUUUAUUGCCUUGUUAUUUGCGGAUGAUAUAGUCUUGAUUGAUGAGAAGUUUUAUAUCUUGCAUGUGUCCAAUAGGAAGUUUUAUUGUCUCACAUAGUGUUCUAACUCUUUAAUUCUAUUUGGUAUUAUUUUUCUCAUACAGGUGUGGGUUUACUUAUCUUGCAGGUCUGGCAUGAGCAUGACAGGCACCCAAGACCAUCUGGUUAGGACAGUUGCACCUAGGAGUUGCUUGAGGAGAUUUUUUAUGUUUUGAGUCUGUUUCUUUUUAUGUUGUCUUGUGCUUUAUUGCCUUGUUAUUUGCGGAUGAUAUAGUCCUAAUUGAUGAGACGCGAGGUGGCGUUAACAAGAGGCUGGAGGUCUGGAGACAUACCCUGGAGUCUAAGGGUUUCGAGUUGAGCAGGACCAAGGCAGAAUACUUAGAGUGCAAGUUCAUCGGUGUUACCAGGAGGCGGAUGGGGAUAUGAAACUCGAUACGCAAGUCAUUUCCAAGAGAGAGAGUUUUAAGUAUCUGGGAUCUAUAAUUCAGAAGGAUGGGGAAAUAGAUGAUGAUGUCACGCACCGUAUCGGAGCAGGGUGGCUGAAGUGGAGGCUCGCUUCCGGUGUCUUAUGUGAUAAUAAUGUGCCAUUGAGACUUAAGGGUAAGUUCUACAAGGUAGUGGUUACACCGACUAUGUUGUAUGAGGCAGAGUGUUGGCCAGUCAAAAAUUUUCAUGUCUAGCAGAUCAAGGUAGCGGAAAUGAGGAUGUUGAGAUGGAUGUGUGGGCAUACUAGGUUAGAUAGAACUAGGAAUGAAGUUAUUCGAGACAUGGUGGGAGUGGCGCCUAUGGAGGCAAAGAUGUGUGAUUCAAGGUUGAGAUGGUUCGGGUAUGUUAAGAGGAUAAGCGCAGAUGCCCCUAUCAGGAGAUGUGAGAGGUUGGCCUUAGGAGGUGAGAGGAGGGGUAGAGGUAGGCCAAAAAAGUCUUGGGAGGAGGUGAUCAGGCGGGAUAUAGUGCUACUUGAACUAACCGAGGACACGAUUCUAGAUAAAAGGGUGUGGAGGUUGAAGAUUAGGGUAGAAGGUUAGUAGGUAGUUGUGCAUCUCCCAUUGUCUUCUCUAGCUCGAUAGUAUUAGCGCUAGUACGGUACUCUUUUUUCCUUAGUUUGCUAUAUUCGCAUGUCUCAUUUUGUUGUUACUUGCCAUUGGUAAUUCCAUAGUUUGCUAGCAGUACUUCGUUCAUAUUCUCGUCUGCUGCCUUGGAAUUAGUUUUCUAAAUAUGUUAUCUUGCUACUACUUGUUAUCAGUACCCCUUUCAUAUUAUCUGUUGUUAUCUCCGAUUUAGUUUUCUAAUUAUUAUUUUUCUAUUACUUGCUACCAGGGCAUCUCUCACCUUCUUUAGCCGGGGGUCUAUGGAAAGCAGUCUUUCUGCCCUUCUAGGGUAGGGGUAAGGCUGCAUACAUCCUACCAUCCCCAGACCCAACUUGUGGGACCACACUGGGUUGUUGUUGUUAUUGUUGUUGUUAUGCUUUAUCGUCAUGUCCAGUAAUAAUGAUUCUUUUAGUUGGUGUAAGAGUUUGUCGUAGUAUAGUUGAUGUUUAUCAAGUCUCUCAUUAUCGUAUCCUAUUUUGUAUUUCAAAAUCAUAAAAAAAAGUUGUAAAUGAAAAUCCAAAAAAAAUUAUUUUUUAGUUUAUUUUGGUC
This 4977-nucleotide long non-coding RNA is filed under the name Nicotiana tabacum (common tobacco). RNAcentral describes it as "long non-coding RNA (NTAB_LNC005668)". The record is from RNAcentral. Lineage: Eukaryota; Viridiplantae; Streptophyta; Magnoliopsida; Solanales; Solanaceae.